CCUAGGCUGGCUGGGCACGGGACCAUCGUGACCACCUACUCGCACCGGGGAAGGCGGCUCUGCCGGCGCCCAGCAGUGCCUGCCGCGCACACGGAUGAGUCAAAACAUCGCGUAAUUCUGUUGCUGAAGAGGAUUCAGGAAGACUGCAACAGAUGUCCAUGGCAGUAUGACUUGGUGGCAGUAUGGCAUGGCAAGAUUAAAUCCCACAGCAAGCAGAACCUGGGCUCCUUGGCACAUCAGGCUAAUGCUGCACUGCUAGAGAUGCCAUUCCUCAGAGGAAAAAUAAAACUGACAUCUUAGAUAGUCAAGUGAUGACCCCUUGGCACAGGGGUUAAGGACAGCCUGGACUACCAUCAGCUUCCAGGGGAGGAGGAGAAGCAUUCGGAGGAUAACCCAACAUGGAAAAGGUUGUGCUAAGUUUGGGCCU
This is a long non-coding RNA of Alligator mississippiensis (American alligator), 427 nucleotides long. RefSeq lists it as uncharacterized. The transcript is spliced from 4 exons. The record is from RefSeq and is a predicted model, not a curated record. NCBI's taxonomy places the organism in Eukaryota, Metazoa, Chordata, Crocodylia, Alligatoridae.